GAGAGAGAGAGAGAGAGAGAGAGAAUUAGAGAAAAAACUUUUCCGAACUUCUCAUUCCGCUUUCGGUUGCAGACUUCAGAGUCACCGUGAUCAGCACCAGAAGGAAAUGCCAGUGGACCAAUCGGUCUCAGGAUAGGUACUCACCUGAUAUUGGGGCGAAGGCUACAUGUCACUCUGAUUCCAGUGAUUGAUGCCAACAUCCCUCUUUUGUGGUCUCCUUUACCCAGAGGCAUUCCCCUCUGAUGGAUCAGAAGGUACCAAGGACCGAGAUAGUAGAACUCGAAAACAAGGAAGAGCAAGAAAAUUCCUAUUUAACCUCCCCCCCAUCUCCACUCUGAGUCCUGCUCUAUUAAGUGUCAGUUUCACAGGACUGAGGAUACAACUCGGCGGUCAAGUGUGCACACAAGACUCUUGGUUAAAUCCCUGUCAUUGUAAAACAACAACAACACUUGAUAUAGAACAAGAGAGCCCUCCAUACCACCUACAGAAGCAUUGACUAAAGGAAAUCUGCCUCCAGACACAGAAGCAGAAAACAGAAAGAGUUCGGGCUUGUUCAACAGAGAUGCGAUUCUUCUUCUGAGUGUUUUCCAUCUCUGCUGGCUUGAGUCUGUGCAUGGCAAAGAAGGCAGCGCAGAGCUGAACACCGGCCUCCUGGACCCUUCAGUGCAACCCUCAUGAAAUGCUAAGAAUUCGGGUAGAGAAUGAAAUGCUAAUAUUCAGUUAGAGACCCCACUUAUUCUUGCAUGGGAGGUGGAUUUAAUAUAAAUCAUACUAUAUGCGUUAGAAGCAAGCAAUUUUUUUGGGGGGGGUUCUCUUUAUUGGACCAGGUUUGUGUUAAGUGAAUGUGUUAAAUGUUUAAAUACCCAAAA
This is a non-coding RNA of Rattus norvegicus (Norway rat), 869 nucleotides long. The record is from RefSeq and is a predicted model, not a curated record. Lineage: Eukaryota; Metazoa; Chordata; Mammalia; Rodentia; Muridae.